UACGAAGGGGGCUAGCGUUGUUCGGAAUUACUGGGCGUAAAGCGCGCGCAGGUGGUCUUUCAAGUCAGUGGUGAAAGCCCGGAGCUCAACUCCGGAAAUGCCAUUGAAACUGUCAGACUUGAGGAUGAGAGAGGUGAGUGGAAUUCCCAGUGUAGAGGUGAAAUUCGUAGAUAUUGGGAAGAACACCGGUGGCGAAGGCGGCUCACUGGCUCAUAUCUGACGCUCAGGCGCGACAGCGUGGGGAUCAAACAGG
Molecule: ribosomal RNA, 253 nt
Filed under: uncultured bacterium
Lineage: Bacteria
Description: partial 16S ribosomal RNA
Rfam family: Bacterial small subunit ribosomal RNA
Source: RNAcentral